Molecule: long non-coding RNA, 482 nt
Organism: Gadus morhua (Atlantic cod)
Lineage: Eukaryota; Metazoa; Chordata; Actinopteri; Gadiformes; Gadidae
Exons: 3
Source: RefSeq, a predicted model, not a curated record
CAGAACCCAGGGCAGCCCCUCGUCCGUCCUGUAGGCUGACAACCAGAGGAUCGAUAUUACAACGGGCAACGACACCCUGUACAUCAUGAGCAUGUGGUCUUUAACCAGCACAAUACCGCUCCCUGGUGGCGAGUUCAGAUGGUCCCAUACCUGCUGCCAGCGCCUCCUGCCUGGUCUCCUCACCCCCCCUGACAGUGGAUGUUUUCAUUCCUCCCGACCAGCCUUCCUCAUUUCCUACAGGGAGAGAAGCUGUCAUUCGUCAAUCGGGAGCGAGGCAAGGGUACAAUAGCAUGAGCCAGAGCCCGGCUGUGAGCCCACCCCUCUCAGAGUCUGCUGAUAAGGUCUUCGUCUGCUUUUCCGGGAACAACAGAGGAGCUAUAAGCUAUUCGCUUUUACAGUUUGGCGUUGUUGGUGAUGGAAGUAUUUUGUCUUGUUUGAUGAUGUAAAAAAGAAUAAAACAGAAACUUGUAUGGUGCAGUCAA